RNAcentral lists this ribosomal RNA (163 nucleotides) under uncultured fungus. RNAcentral describes it as "5.8S ribosomal RNA". It matches the Rfam family "5.8S ribosomal RNA". From Rfam's summary of the family: 5.8S ribosomal RNA (5.8S rRNA) is a component of the large subunit of the eukaryotic ribosome. It is transcribed by RNA polymerase I as part of the 45S precursor that also contains 18S and 28S rRNA. Functionally, it is thought that 5.8S rRNA may be involved in ribosome translocation. Lineage: Eukaryota; Fungi. The record is from RNAcentral.
UAUUACAACUUUCAGCAAUGGAUCUNUUGGCUCUCGCAUCGAUGAAGAACGCAGCGAAACGCGAUAUGUAAUGUGAAUUGCAGAUCUACAGUGAAUCAUCGAAUCUUUGAACGCACCUUGCGCUCCUUGGUAUUCCGAGGAGCAUGCCUGUUUGAGUGUCAGU